GGCGAAAGCCUGAUGCAGCAACGCCGCGUGAGCGAUGAAGGCCUUUGGGUCGUAAAGCUCUGUCCUUGGGGAAGAAUAAAUGACGGUACCCUUGGAGGAAGCCCCGGCUAACUACGUGCCAGCAGCCGCGGUAAUACGUAGGGGGCAAGCGUUAUCCGGAAUUAUUGGGCGUAAAGAGUGCGUAGGUGGUUUUGUAAGCGCGGGGUGAAAGGCGAUGGCUCAACUAUUGUAAGCCCUGCGAACUGCAAGACUUGAGUGCAGGAGAGGAAAGUGGAAUUCCUAGUGUAGCGGUGAAAUGCGUAGAUAUUAGGAGGAACACCAGUGGCGAAGGCGACUUUCUGGACUGUAACUGACACUGAGGCACGAAAGCGUGGGGAGCAAACAGGAUUAGAUACCCUGGUAG
RNAcentral lists this ribosomal RNA (403 nucleotides) under uncultured bacterium. RNAcentral describes it as "bacterial SSU rRNA". It matches the Rfam family "Bacterial small subunit ribosomal RNA", at positions 374 to 793 of the family's 1533-position model. The record is from RNAcentral.